This 516-nucleotide ribosomal RNA is filed under the name uncultured bacterium. Its description in RNAcentral is "partial 16S ribosomal RNA". It matches the Rfam family "Bacterial small subunit ribosomal RNA", at positions 899 to 1397 of the family's 1533-position model. The record is from RNAcentral.
ACUCAAAUGAAUAGACGGGGGCCCGCACAAGCGGUGGAACAUGUGGUUUAAUUCGAAGCUACGCGAAAAACCUCACCAGGGCUUGACAUAUAGGAAGUAGUGAACUGAAAGGGGAACGACCUGUCAAGUCAGGAGCCUAUACAGGUGCUGCAUGGCUGUCGUCAGCUCGUGUCGUGAGAUGUUGGGUUAAGUCCCGCAACGAGCGCAACCAUUAUCAUUUGUUGCCACUUCUUUCUAGCUUGCUAGGAAGAAAGCACUCUAAUGAGACUGCCUGGGAUAACCAGGAGGAAGGUGGAGAUGACGUCAAGUCAGUACGGCCUUUAUGCCCUGGGCGACACACGUGUUACAAUGGGUAGGACAAAGGGUUGCCAACCCGCGAGGGGGAGCUAAUCUCAAAAACCUACCCUCAGUUCAGAUUGGAGUCUGCAAUUCGACUCCAUGAAGCCGGAAUCGCUAGUAAUGGUAGAUCAGCAUGCUACCGUGAAUACGUUCCCGGGCCUUGCACACACCGCCCGU